UGCAUCGAUGAAGAACGUAGCAAACUGCGAUACUUGGUGUGAAUUGCAGAAUCCCGUGAACCAUCGAGUCUUUGAACGCAAGUUGCGCCCGAAGCCAUUAGGCCGAGGGCACGUCUGCCUGGGCGUCACGC
RNAcentral lists this ribosomal RNA (131 nucleotides) under Strychnos schultesiana. RNAcentral's name for it is "partial 5.8S ribosomal RNA". It matches the Rfam family "5.8S ribosomal RNA", at positions 29 to 154 of the family's 154-position model. Rfam says of the family: 5.8S ribosomal RNA (5.8S rRNA) is a component of the large subunit of the eukaryotic ribosome. Lineage: Eukaryota; Viridiplantae; Streptophyta; Magnoliopsida; Gentianales; Loganiaceae. RNAcentral also lists the same sequence under 1 other name. The record is from RNAcentral.